UGAUAGAAACACCUGGGACUACACGUCCGGGAGCGAUCUCAGUUGGGAGUGUCCAUCUAUCUCCCUUGGUUUUCAGUGCUGGGCAGUAGCGAAGCGACUAGUUUAAUUAUAUUCUCUAGUAGCUUGGUCGUAGCGUCACUACUAUGUAUCGAGUAGCUAACGUCCCUGUAGUUAAGCUAUUUUUCCUCAAGUAGCGACGUAGUCUACAAAAGCUACAAUUUGUCCCCCAUCGAUUUUACUCAAUGAUUUUUGUUUUACUUUCUCUAUCCUGAAACCUAGGCAGUCACACAGGGGUUCCAAGACCCACCUGCGUAAAAUCAAGUCAAAGGCUGCUGUCUCAUAAUAUGGCGAAGACGAGUCACCUGAAGGCCUAACUCGCCAUAGAAGACUGAAAGAAUGUAAGAUUAACUUCUUUGUGACCAAUAUGACUUGCUCAUUGAUACAUUUGCUAUGUCAAUAUGAGGUGCAUGGCGAAUUAUUUAAUUUAUUUGUCUCGCUUCUAGGAGCUGUAGAAACAACAGGGUGUUCUUUUUCAGGGUAUUCUUUUUUAUAGAACUGGACAGGUCAUUUAUUCGUUCCCCUUGUUUUUUGAAGUGUCCUGCAGGAUGCUGUGUCCUGCAAUCCUGUGUGCUGUGCUACAGACGCGUGUGGAGGUCAACCCAAAAUGGGCACAGUCUCACCACAGAAGAGUGAAAGAGGAUCCUGGCAGGGAGACGGUAGUGUCCUGCAGAAUGGUGAUGGGCCAAUCUUACAAGAGACCACAGAAAACUGAUAUAGUGAACUAUAGAAACAACAGAGUGCCUGCUGCAGUAUGACGAGGACACCCUGAGCAGAGAGCUCCAAUAGACCCAGGUCCAGUGUCUUGGCAGGGUGAAAUGGCACUGAUAUGGUGUCCUGCAGGAUGCUGUGUCCUGCAAUCCUGUGUGCUGUGCUACAGACGCGUCUGGAAGCCAACCUGAAAUAAGCACAGUCUCUCCACAGAGGAGUGAAAGAGGGUAAGCUUAACCUAUAGCCUACGUCAGUGGUGGGGAACCUUUCUCAUUCGAAGGGCCAAUUCAAAUUCAUCCGAGGGGCCGUAAAAGUCCUCCAAGGGCCGUACUAUGAACACAAACCAGGAUUUCCCCCUUCACUUUAGACCUAUAUUGAAGGCAGCCACAUUUAAACAAACACCACCUUCUUCAGCUUCCCUGAAUAUAACUUAAUUGUAUUGCAAAUGUAUUUUCUAAGGUUCCUUUACAAAAUAUGUCAUUUUAUGUGAAGCUGAAUAACAUUAAAAUUAUAUCGGGGACCAGAUAAAACGGCCUCAAGGGUCGC
Engraulis encrasicolus (European anchovy) is the source of this 1314-nucleotide long non-coding RNA. RefSeq lists it as uncharacterized. The transcript has 5 exons. Lineage: Eukaryota; Metazoa; Chordata; Actinopteri; Clupeiformes; Engraulidae. The record is from RefSeq and is a predicted model, not a curated record.